GCCUUUGUGGUGGAGUGGCCAGCAUGCUCGGCGGGUAACCCAGAGGUCCGUGGUUCGAUUCCACGCAAAGGCG
RNAcentral lists this transfer RNA (73 nucleotides) under Stegodyphus mimosarum. It matches the Rfam family "tRNA". Rfam says of the family: Transfer RNA (tRNA) molecules are approximately 80 nucleotides in length. Their secondary structure includes four short double-helical elements and three loops (D, anti-codon, and T loops). Further hydrogen bonds mediate the characteristic L-shaped molecular structure. tRNAs have two regions of fundamental functional importance: the anti-codon, which is responsible for specific mRNA codon recognition, and the 3' end, to which the tRNAs corresponding amino acid is attached (by aminoacyl-tRNA synthetases). tRNAs cope with the degeneracy of the genetic code in two manners: having more than one tRNA (with a specific anti-codon) for a particular amino acid; and 'wobble' base-pairing, i.e. permitting non-standard base-pairing at the 3rd anti-codon position. The record is from Rfam by way of RNAcentral. Lineage: Eukaryota; Metazoa; Arthropoda; Arachnida; Araneae; Eresidae.